CCUACGGGCGGCAGCAGUGAGGAAUAUUGGUCAAUGGCCGGGAGGCUGAACCAGCCAAGUCGCGUGAGGGAAGACGGCCCUACGGGUUGUAAACCUCUUUUGUCAGGGAGCAAGGUGCAGGUCGGGACCUGCUGGGAGAGUACCUGAAGAUAAAGCAUCGGCUAACUCCGUGCCAGCAGCCGCGGUAAUACGGAGGAUGCGAGCGUUAUCCGGAUGUAUUGGGUUUAAAGGGUGCGCAGGCGGGGGCACAAGUCAGCGGUAAAAUCGCGGGGCUCAACCCCGCUGCGCCGUUGAAACUGUGUACCUUGAGUGCGCGAAGGGUAGGCGGAAUGCGUGGGGUAGCGGUGAAAUGCAUAGAUAUAACGCAGAACGCCGAUCGCGAAGGCAGCCUACCGGCGCGCAACUGACGCUCAUGCACGAAAGCGUGGGUAUCGAACAGGAUUAGAUACCCGAGUAGUC
This 459-nucleotide ribosomal RNA is filed under the name uncultured bacterium. RNAcentral describes it as "partial 16S ribosomal RNA". It matches the Rfam family "Bacterial small subunit ribosomal RNA", at positions 338 to 795 of the family's 1533-position model. The record is from RNAcentral.